AGUGAACGCUGGCGGUAGGCCUAACACAUGCAAGUCGAACGGCAGCACAGUAAGAGCUUGCUCUUACGGGUGGCGAGUGGCGGACGGGUGAGGAAUACAUCGGAAUCUACUUUUUCGUGGGGGAUAACGUAGGGAAACUUACGCUAAUACCGCAUACGACCUACGGGUGAAAGCAGGGGAUCUUCGGACCUUGCGCGAUUGAAUGAGCCGAUGUCGGAUUAGCUAGUUGGCGGGGUAAAGGCCCACCAAGGCGACGAUCCGUAGCUGGUCUGAGAGGAUGAUCAGCCAAAAUUGAAAUGAGAAACGGUCCAAACUUCUAAGGGAGGCAGCAGGUGGGAAUAUUGGACAAUUGGCGGAAAGCUGAUCCAGGCAUACCCGGGGGGGGAAAAAGGCCUUCGGGUUUGUAAACCCUUUUUGUGGGAAAGAAAAGCAGCAGGUUAAUACCCCGCUGUUCUGACGGUACCCAAAGAAUAAGCACCGGCUAACUUCGUG
Molecule: ribosomal RNA, 492 nt
Filed under: uncultured bacterium
Lineage: Bacteria
Description: partial 16S ribosomal RNA
Rfam family: Bacterial small subunit ribosomal RNA
Source: RNAcentral